CAGCAGCCGCGGUAAUACGAAGGGGGCUAGCGUUGCUCGGAAUUACUGGGCGUAAAGGGAGCGUAGGCGGAUCGUUUAGUCAGGGGUGAAAUCCCGGGGCUCAACCUCGGAACUGCCUUUGAUACUGGCGAUCUUGAGUAUGGGAGAGGUGUGUGGAACUCCGAGUGUAGAGGUGAAAUUCGUAGAUAUUCGGAAAAACACCAGUGGCGAAGGCGACUCACUGGCCCAUUACUGACGCUGAGGCGCGAAAGCGUGGGGAGCAAACAGGAUUAGAUACCCGGGUAGUCCCUGUCUCUUAUAC
This 301-nucleotide ribosomal RNA is filed under the name uncultured bacterium. RNAcentral describes it as "partial 16S ribosomal RNA". It matches the Rfam family "Bacterial small subunit ribosomal RNA", at positions 509 to 807 of the family's 1533-position model. The record is from RNAcentral.